RNAcentral lists this ribosomal RNA (269 nucleotides) under uncultured bacterium. RNAcentral describes it as "partial small subunit ribosomal RNA". It matches the Rfam family "Bacterial small subunit ribosomal RNA", at positions 26 to 285 of the family's 1533-position model. The record is from RNAcentral.
AGAAUCAACGCUGGCGGCGUGCCUAACACAUGCAAGUCGAACGCGAAAGUCCCGCAAGGGAUAAGUAGAGUGGCAAACGGGUGAGUAACACGUGGGUGACCUGCCUUCGAGCGGGGGAUAACGUCCCGAAAGGGACGCUAAUACCGCAUGACAUCCUGCCUUUGAAGAGGCGGUGAUCAAAGCCGGGACGUAAGGCCUGGCACUUGAAGAGGGGCCCGCGCCUGAUUAGCUAGUUGGUGGGUAAUGGCUCACCAAGGCAACGAUCAGUA